Molecule: ribosomal RNA, 435 nt
Filed under: uncultured bacterium
Lineage: Bacteria
Description: bacterial SSU rRNA
Rfam family: Bacterial small subunit ribosomal RNA
Source: RNAcentral
CAGGCCUAACACAUGCAAGUCGAGCGAGAUCUUCGGGUCUAGCGGCGGACGGGUGAGUAACGCGUGGGAACGUGCCCUUUUCUGCGGAAUAGCCUCGGGAAACUGAGAGUAAUACCGCAUACGCCCUUUUGGGGAAAGAUUUAUCGGAGAAGGAUCGGCCCGCGUUGGAUUAGGUAGUUGGUGGGGUAAUGGCCUACCAAGCCUUCGAUCCAUAGCUGGUUUGAGAGGAUGAUCAGCCGCACUGGGACUGAGACACGGCCCAGACUCCUACGGGAGGCAGCAGUGGGGAAUCUUAGACAAUGGGGGCAACCCUGAUCUAGCCAUGCCGCGUGAGUGAUGAAGGCCUUAGGGUUGUAAAGCUCUUUCAGCUGGGAAGAUAAUGACGGUACCAGCAGAAGAAGCCCCGGCUAACUCCGUGCCAGCAGCCGCGGUAAU